RNAcentral lists this long non-coding RNA (3040 nucleotides) under Homo sapiens (human). RNAcentral's name for it is "non-protein coding lnc-TC2N-1:1". The record is from RNAcentral. Lineage: Eukaryota; Metazoa; Chordata; Mammalia; Primates; Hominidae.
UCAUGAGAAACACCUCCAUGAUCCAAUCACCUCCCACCAGGCCCCACCUCCAACAUUAGAGAUUACAAUUCAACAUGAGAUUUGGGCGGGGACACAGAUCCAAUCCAUAUCAGGCAUCUAACUCCCACACCUGUGGCUGGAGCCCAUGCCACUCACCUCUCCUACUCAAAACUAGAUUGCAAAUUCCCAUCCAGAGACUCUCCAAAUCAGUGACUGCAACCCAUGCUUGUUGGCAGGUUCUUAUACAACCCACUAUGAGUUAGCAUCAAAAAUGGCUUUCUCCUAUCAGCACCCAUGUUUGGGAGUGUGUGUGGGGUACUUCCCAGUGCCGUUCCUUCUCAUGGUCUCCUGACUGCUCCCUGAGUCAGAUCAGGGCUUGGUAAAGUCAAGAAGCUCCUCCAUGGCCUGGAUUGCCUGGCUGUCCAGUGGGAAUGUGUAUCACAGAGACAGUUUCUCCCCGUCUCACACACUGAGGAUUCACUCACAGUUUCCCACCAGAUCCACCCCGCAGGCUGCUGCUUGCCUUAUUUUUCAGAGUAUCCAAAGUUUCUUUCACUUUUAUGUUGAACUCCCGUGUUCUUUCUUGGAUAAAAUUUCACAGUAUGAAUCUCUACACAUUAUUUUGCCUUUUCCAAAUGCAUGAGGCAAGCUGGCAAAGCCACUAUUCUGCUAUGUUGGGGAGAAAAACAGAAAUGGUUGUCUUAAUAGAUACAUGCUUUAAAAUUAAUCUAAGCUAGAUGUAGUUUUCAAUGAACUAAUGUAUAUUGAGUGUCUAUUAUAUAUGGAAUCCAGAGAAGACUGUUUCUUUGUAUUUUUUUUUGUUUUAUAGUACUAUGAUUCAUUUGAAACCUAUUAUCAGCCUUAUGACCAUACCAAGUUGUGCCAGUCAUUUAAAAUUUUUAGUUUUUCAUUAUUCAACAUACAUUGAUAUACAGCCUUACAUGCAUGUCUAUGAGAAAGUGGUAGGAGAAAGCUCUCAGCUGAUUUUUGUGCAACUGAAUGACCAUUAAUGCUUGGCAAUCUUCCCAACUGAAUCUGACUCAAGUAGAAAUAGUUAACAUUAAUCAAAAGAGAUUAAUUACCUGCCACCAGUCUUUUGAAACAGUCUGUCCUGAGAAAAAGAGAAUUCGAUGAUAUGUAAAUCCAUGUUCUUUGGGAAUGCUUAUUUCUCCUUUUCUUGGGAUACAGAAGAAGAGACAGACUCAGAUACAAACCUCAAUACCUGAAAUCAUUAGCUUUGGUCUUGGUGGGAUCAAAACCAAAAAAUAAAAGCUAUUAAUAUGUGAUUGAAUACACAAACACACGUGCGUGCACACACACACACACACAUUUAUUAUAAGGAAUUGGCAUAUGUGAUUAUGGCAACUGGGAAGUCCAAGAAUCUGCAAUGUGGUCUGGCAGGCUCAAGACCCAAGAGAGCUGAUGGUGCAGUUCCAGUCUCACAGAAGUCUGCUGGAGAAUUUCCUCUGGCUUGGAGAAGGUGGUCUUUUCAUUCUACUCAGGUCUUCUAUUGAUUGGAUAAAGUGCACAUACAUCAUGGAGGGCAAUCUUCUUUACUCAGAGGACAUCAGUGUCAAUGUUAUUCCCAUCCAGAAACACCUUCCAAGUUGACACAUAAAAUUAACAAUACACUUUUCCUCAUCUCACCCAAAUUUAGGUUAAGAGUUCUGGAUACCUGAAUUAAUAUUGCCAUUGGAAUGCCACUUUUACUUUUGGAGAAAAAUUAGAAAUAACAUUUUAUAAAAUUAAAAAACUGUAGGCUAGGCACACUGGUUUACACCUAUAAUCCCAGCACUUUUGGAGGCCAAGGCAGGAGGAUCCCUUGAGCCCAGGAGUUCAAGUCUAGCCUGGGCAACAUAAGGAGAUCCUGUCUCUACAAAAAAAAAAAAACAAAAAAACUGUAGCUAGGCAUGGUGGCAUGUGCUUGUAGUCUCAGAUACUCAGAAGGCUGAGGUAGGAGGAUCCCUUGAGCCCAGGAGUUCAAGGCUGCAGUGAGCUGUGAUUAUACCAUGGCACUCCAGCAUGGGUGACAGAGCAAGACUUUAUCUCAAAAAGAAAAAAAAAUACUGUGUUUCUGGUUUGCAAUUAUACUGAGUAUUCCAGAUAUGAAGUGACCAGCUCAUAGCACUUGCAACAAGAUUAUUCUCUUCUGUAGUCUGGUUGCUAUAUUUCUAAUAAUGUGACUCAAGAUUUCAUUCAUUUUACCUCUGGACUUAUCACUCUUUGAACUUUACGGUUUAUCACUAGGUCUUUUUCUCUAAAUGAGCUAUUGUUAGGCCAGUUUUCUUCUUCCUCUUGCAAUCCUGUUUUUCAGUGGUUGAUGGCAUUUAACCUAACGUGGAUUUUCACAUAACAAUUGCUAUUUUAAAAUGUUAUUAGUUACUUAACCCAUAUGAUUUAUCUUAGAACCACAGAACCUCAGAGCUAAAAUGAACAUUUUAUAAUAACAAACCGGGUCCAAAAUAAAUGACUUACAUAGAUUUAUAAGGUAAUUAAUGACAGAGCUGAGUCAAGGAUUCAUGUUUCUUGAUGCCUAGUUUAGUAGUCUUUGAUGCAACAGACAUCAAGUACAUAUUAUAUCUAGAAGUAAUGUAUUAAAGAUAAUCUUUUGGCUUAAAUCAUUUUAGAAUGUGUAACAUCCUUGUAAUACAAGUCAUUACCCAUUUCAACUAGAGAAGAAGAUAUAUAGAAAUAUCAAAUGUUAACAAGGUAAUAGGCCAUUGCUUUUGUGUAAUUCAAAAUUUGAUAAUGAUUUUGUUCUUUGCCCUAGUUAUUGAUAAAAUUCUUAAAGUGAACAUUGCCCUACUGCCUAUUUCUAGGUGCUGUUCCCUUUAAUAAGUAUAUUUUGAACAUCAUUUGUUUAACCCUGUUUUAACCAAUUAGAAAUCUAUCUACUUGAAUUAUGUUCAUUCUCUUCCCUAUGUAUUCUUUUUGAGUAACAAAAUGAGAUUAUUUUAAUAUGACUAGAAAGGAAAUAUAUCUUAAUAUGAGGGUGUACAAACUUUUGUUGUCUUAAAUAAAGAUUGACAUGUCAAAUCUG